UAUAAGCAAUCAUGCAUAUAAGAGAUCAAAGAAGACUCAAAUAUCUUUCAUGGAUAAAAACAUAGAUCUGAUCAUGAACUCAAAGUUCAUCGGAUUCCAACAAACACACCGCCAAAAGACUUACAUCAUAUGGGUCUGCAAGAGACCAUUGUAUUGAUAAUAAAGAGAGAGAGAGGAAGCCAUCUAGCUACUAACUACGGACCUGUAGGUCUACAAAGAACUACUCACGCAUCAUAGGAGAGGCACCAAUGGAAGUGGUGAACCCCUCCAUGACGGUGUCUAGAUUGGAUCUGGUGGUUCUGGACUCUGCGGCGGCUGGAUCAAUAUUUCGUCGACUCCCUUAGGGUUUCAGGAAUAUUUGGGUAUUUAUAGAGCAAAGAGGCGGUUCAGGGGGCACCCGUGGUGGGCACAACCCCCCAAGGCGCGCCUGGGCCUCCUGGCACGCCCUGGUGGGUGCUGCUCCCCUCGAGCAGCCCCUGAGGUGCUUGCUUGGCCCAUUGGCUUUCUUCUGGCCAAAAAAAUCCUCCAGGAGUUGCGUUGCAUUUGGACUCCGUUUGAUACUGAUUUCCUGCAAUGUAAAAAACAUGCAGAAAACAGCAACUGGCACUAGGCACUAUGUCAAUACGUUAGUACCAAAAAAUGAUAUAAAAUGACUAUAAAAUGAUUGUAAAACAUCCAAGAGUGAUAAUAUAACAGUAUGGAACAAUCAAAAAUUAUAGAUACGUUGGAGACGUAUCAUGGGCUUCCUCAAGUUCCCCUAGGUCUUCGUGAGCAAGCGAGUUGGAUGCACACCCACUUAGUUUCCUUUUGAGCUUUCAUAAACUUAUAGCUCUAGUGCAUUCGUUGCAUGGAAUUCCCUAUUCACUCACAUUGAUAUCUAUUGAUGGGCAUCUCCGUAGCCUAUAGAUACGCCUAGUUGAUGUGAGACUAUCUCCCUCUUUUUAUCUUCUCCACAACCACCAUAUUCUAGUCCACCUAUAGUGCUAUGUCCAUCGCUUACGCUCAUGUAUUGCAUGAAAGUUGAAAAAGUUUGAGAACACCUAAAGUAUGAAACAAUUGCCUGGCUGUGGCACCCCCGCUCAGAGAAAACUGGUAUGCCCCGUAUUCCAGCCCAGAGAUCAAGGAGAAGUCGUCUGGAAUACGACACUGCUUAGCAAACCAGCUCUUUAUUACAAUCUAUUUGGGUACAAGGGUUCCGACAUAAUAGGGAAUUACAUCGGCAUGGCGACACUACGCCUGCCACUGUUACUCUAUGCAAGCAGCAAAACAACUCGAAGCAGCGGAAUAACUCUAGUAGUGGAAUAACGGCGACGGUGGUGAACUCCACUCCGUAGGGACUCUGACUGGAACGCUUAUCCUAGCUCGCAAACAAGGAAUCCACGGCAAACAAGCAAUCAAGUCCGGCAUGACCUGCAAACUGGCAUGACACGCCAGGUUAGUACAUUGAAUGUACUUGCAAGCUCACAAUAACCAGAAGCAUUCAAGACAAACAACAACAUGGCAAUUACAGGUUACGCAUAAAUUAACAUGAUAUCAUCAUAGCAACAUGGCAUGAACAACAUGAACAUGAUACAACUAGCAUAACAUGAUCAUGUCAAGAACAUAUGAAUCUAAGGAUACUAGCAUGCAACAUGAUGACACUAUCAUGCACCAACUUACUCUGUUCGGGUUACCUCGUAACCAUCACAUGCAUCACUUACCAACCUCGGACAUCACACGAUCAUCUCAGGAUCAAAACAAGCUUGCUAUAAACAAUACCAUAGUAAUCAUUACAUGACCACAAGGAGCUUGAUCUUUACCCACGAUUCUCGCACAAAUAUCCAACAACUCGGUAUCCUCGACGCCACAGUGAUCAUUCACCGAACCACACUUGGUUCAACGGGCUGCCUCGUAACCCAACGAUAAUCAAUCACGGAUCACAUAUCCAACUUAUCUCAUCAUUGAACUUGGGUUGUUAUUAAGCACAUUAUUAUUAUUAUUACUGUUGACCCAUAGUGUGACCAACUACGAACUGGGCCCUUAUCCGCGGGUGCGGUUAUCGAUAGAUUUAGUAUACACUCUGCAGAGGUAGCGCACUGUACCCAGACCACGGAACCCAUGGCCUCGCGCUCCCAUUCGGGUGGACCAACGACAUUCCGACAAAACCGUCCUACUGCCAUGACAUUUUUUUGGCCACUCCGACUCACUCCCCACUAGGCUAAGUCAUGGGUGGCCCCGUGCCUACCAAAGGCACCAACGGCCACCAUCGUGGCAAAACGGCCACCAUCGUGGCAAAACAAAAAUGGUCCCAAACGGGGACAAGCCGUCUAUAACAACUAUGGGCACAGGGCUUAUGUCCGCCUACCUGAUCAGGGUAGCGCGUGCCCAAAACCUUCCCUCGUGGGAGGCACCGGCUAGAGGCACGACAAUAGACCCAGUUAGGACCCUCCCAUAAAGGCAAGUGUGGUUGCACUGGUCAGCUCGAUAUGGUGGGCCCAUGACUCAGCCAACAGUUGUUCAAGUUCAAUUAAGUCCGGUUAAACUUGAAUGCAAUAAGCUAAGCCAUAUUAAAAUAACAUGAUGCAACUACAAUGCAUGAGCACGGAUCAACAUAAGUAGGGAAGUACAACAUAAUCAUCGAGCAUAACCAUAAUGAAACAUUAACCAAAUGAGCAUGGCAAACUGACGAGCAUAACAUUACACAUGAACAUGCCAUGAUCACUAGCAUCAUAAAUAAAUACCAUGCAAGAACUCAUUCAGAAAACUACCAAGGAAGCAUAUAACCAACUAGAUACAAAGUAACAUGCAUAGCUACGGCACUAGAUAAAAGAUCGUAAACAUGCAUUUGAAAGAACACACUGCCAGUACUACCAAGCAUGACAUAUAACAAUAAUACUAGUAAUAAGUGCAAGAUAACAAGAUGAAGAAGAGCAUAGCAUGAAAGUGAACACACAUCUCUAAGCAUCACCGAAACAACGAUAACCAUAUCGAAACAAGCAAACAUUUAUCAUUCAAGUUGAAAACCAUAGCUACUGCAUGACUAUCAUGCAAGUGGUUGUUGUGGCUUGCCUGGGGAUGAAGAAGGCACCGGGGAGAACUGCGGUGAAGCCGUGGAAAGAUUUGCCAGAAAUAGUUAUCUCCUAGAGGGGGCUGUUUACGUGCAAGGGAAAAAUGGUAAUUUUCAGAAUGUUAACACAUGGUGAAACUGUGACCAACGGGACAAGCUCGACGAGACGAAGAAAUGGGCUUUGGAAUCACCUCUUUUGGAGUUGCAAGCAAAAAGUUAUAGCCUGACGAAGUCCAGGGACCAAUCUAUAAAAAUAUUUCUGCAAACAGGCCCCUGAGCUGAAAAACAGAAAGCACAUUUAGUUGAAUACGCCUUCUUAGCAGAUAAGACGUAUUUCCAGCCGUAGUGAAGUGAAAAUACGCUUUCCCGAAAGCAAAACGCAUUUCCAACCGAACUAGGACUAAAGUACGCUUUCCCUGAAUGAAUACGUAUUCCAACAAAUGCGUUUCCACUUAUCCAUCUAGGUAAGCGCGGGGCCGGCUCGUGUGACACUAACGUGUGGGUCCCAUGGGUGGUGGGGGCCCGUCACUUAUCUACGCUGUACCGGGAGGGGUUAACGCCGUGUGGCUGACUGGUGGAGCCGAGGAAGUCGCAGGGCCCACCUGGCCUCAUCUUCUUCCUCCUCUCCCUGCCCCCGAUGGAAACAGAGGAGGGGGCAGGAGAGGGUGCUGCCGGCGAUGGGCCAGCCUGCCUUGGCCAGCUCCGGCCAGGCGGAGGCCACUGGAAGGCUCGGGCGUCCACGUCACGCCCAUCCAGAGGCACAUCCCACGCCAAGAAGGAGUGGGGAAGGCGGGGCUCACGGCAACAGAGAAACGGAGAGGCGGCGGCCUGACGGGGGAUUCGUGGCCUCGGAGGGUCCGACGACGAGCAGAGGGGAUGGAGAGGACCGCCGGAGAGUGGGGAAGGUGGUGGAGUGGCUAGAGGUGGAGGAGGAGCUCGGCAUGGGGCCAAUUUAGGCCGAAGCCGCGGCGGCCAUGGCGGCCAUGG
Molecule: long non-coding RNA, 4033 nt
Filed under: Triticum aestivum (bread wheat)
Lineage: Eukaryota; Viridiplantae; Streptophyta; Magnoliopsida; Poales; Poaceae
Description: long non-coding RNA (TAES_LNC022622)
Source: RNAcentral